AGUGGGCGGGGGGCGCUGUGGAGAGCACCUCUCUGGGGCCUGUCGGGGCGCCGCCCGCCGGCGCAGGGCUGCCAGCCACGUUGCAGCGCAGCCCCAUCUGCAAGAGAGGAUCCCGCCCCCGGAGCAGCAGCGUCUGACCGCAGCCCUCUGGGGAGUAAAAAUACUGGGGGGGGGAGACAGCUGGAGAUACCAGAGUGCCCACCCCCCAGCGCAGCUGGGAGCCUGGCCCCAGCCUCAUCUCUCCUUCCCACCCUUAAUGUUUCUGUCUGGAGUGCUGCGGGUCGCGGGCUGUCAGAGAGAAGGUGGGCGAGACCAAUGAAGAACUUCAACCUCAUUUUCAGUGAACUAAUUGACAUGCGAGUAAACUGGUACAAUAGGAAGAUAAAGACCUACUGGAAUUAAUCAGUGAUCUGUUUUUAAGGUGAAAAACAUGACACUUGGUGUAGUAGGAGAAAAUAUAGUAGACAUCUGUCCCUGUGACUGAAAAACAGAAGUGAGACCAUAGGAGUACAGUCUAAAAAGGCUGGAAUCGGCUGUAAAAGAAAUCCCACAUCUGAAUAUCUUCUAAUUAUCUCUCAUCUUGAACUAAGACUCUCACUACAAUGUCCUAUGGGGUAAUAAAACAUAAAGGCUGCUAGAAGUAACAGACUAAUCUAUAGAAAUUUCAUUUUGAAGCAUUUUAGGUUUAUGCUAGGAAUUGAAGACAGCACUAGCCAUGCUAAUGGGACUUAAACACCACUCUUAGGAAACAUGACUUUGUUUAACCAAUAGGCAAAAAUGUAAAUAUCACUAAUGGUUUAGCCUGUGUCAUAUGAAAUGCUCUGGAAUUGUAGAUAAAGCUGCCAUAUAAUUUAAACAGCUAGGGUUGUUUAAUACUAGGGCUGUCAAGCGAUUAAAAAAUUAAUCAUGCUCUUAAAGAGUAAUAGAAUACUAUUUACAUAUUUGUUGAUGUUUUCUACAUUUGCAAAUAUACUUAUUUCAAUUAUAACACAAAGUUUAUAGUGCUCACCUUACAUUUUUGAUAAUUACUUCUACUGUAAAAAGAAUAGUAUUUUUCAAUUCACCAAAUAUUACUGUAGUGCAAUCUCUUUAUAAUGAAAACUUACAAAUGCUUGAAUUAUGUACAAAAAAAGCUGCAUUCAAAAAUUUUAAAAAAAAGUAAAAUUUUAAGCGCCUGUAAAUCCACUCAGUCCUACUACUUAUUCAGCCAGUUGCUCAAACAAACAAGUUUGUUUACAUUUACAGGAGAUAAUGCUGCUCCCUUCUUGUUUACAAUGUCACCUGAAAGUCAGACAAACAUUGUAGCAGGCAUCACAAGAUAUUUACGUGCCAGAUGCACUAAAAAUUCAUAUCCCUUCCUGCUUCAACCACCAUUCCAGGGGACAUGCGUCCAUUCUGAUGAUGGGUUCUGCUCGAUAACAAUCCAAAGCAGUGCAGACCGAUGGAUGUUCAUUUUCAUUAUCUGAGUCAGAUA
Long non-coding RNA from Caretta caretta (loggerhead turtle), 1474 nucleotides. RefSeq lists it as uncharacterized. The record is from RefSeq and is a predicted model, not a curated record. NCBI's taxonomy places the organism in Eukaryota, Metazoa, Chordata, Testudines, Cheloniidae.